Long non-coding RNA from Dama dama (fallow deer), 889 nucleotides. RefSeq lists it as uncharacterized. The transcript is spliced from 4 exons. The record is from RefSeq and is a predicted model, not a curated record. NCBI's taxonomy places the organism in Eukaryota, Metazoa, Chordata, Mammalia, Artiodactyla, Cervidae.
CGCUUCACAUCACUCUGACGGGAGGCUGCUGCCGCUGCAUAGAUGUGAAUUAAGGCUCCUUGGGCUCCGCAGCACCCACAGGGACUGGGGUACCUGGUUCAGACCCCGCCCGGGCACCACGCUGUACAAGGCUGGGUGCUGGGACACCAUCUGGGAGCUCAACACCCGCGAGCACUGAAGGCCCUUGAAAGCAGCUAAGGGCCAGGUCUGAGGAUUUCAGCAGAGAAGAGGGUGGGUCACAGGCAAGCCUUCGGAAAGAAAAGGAAUCCCUCUUUCCAGAGAUCACACAACUCACACCCAUGACUGAGGCAGAGCCUGGGCCCCUGUUGAGAGUCCCAUGCCUUGUUACUCAAAUUAUAUACGAUACCAUAACUGCCAGCAGAGGGAAAAAGCUAACUUUGUGAUGACUAGACCACAGCCAUGAAAGGAUCUGCUCCAACUCGAGCCAUACAGAAUCCAUGUGUGUAUGUUGGUUGUUCAGUCAUGGCCGAUUCUUGGCAACCCACCCCAUAGACUGUAGCCUGCCAGGCUCCUCUGUCCAUGGGAUUCUCCAGGCAAGAAUACUGGAGUGGGUCGCCAUUCCCUUCUCCAGGGCAUCUUUCCGACCCAGACAAAAACAAGUAAGAACGAAGAACUGAGGAGUUAAAAAAUGACCAGCUCUCACAAUCCUGCAGGCAGAUCACAAAGGCAAGAUAACAUCGGAAGACAGAGAAAGCCAAUGCACGCAAAGGAGAAUGAUGUGGCACCCAACUUCCUGUCUCAGUGAUUCACUGAGAUUCUUUCCCUUUUUUCCCCUUUAAAAACUGUCAUGGCUGAUCGGCUAUACCCCAGUACAAAAUAUGUUUGGUGUUAAAAAAAAUAAUAAUGAUAAUAAAAAAUAAAAACCGUC